GGUUUGGGAGGUAAUUGGGACCUCCGCCUCCCUCCCUUCCCUCGCUGCCUCCCGGAAUUUGACCAAUCCCGUGAGGAGGAGCCGUGGGCGGGGCGGGCUCGGCUCCCGGAGCGGCGUGAAAAAUUUCCCCAGGCAGAGCGAAAAGUCUUCCUGAGCUAUUGAGCAUGUCCGGUUCCCGAAGGGGCGCUUUGGACGCGAGUGAAGCGAGGAGAGACGGAGAAGGAAACGAGCGGGCAGUUGAGGGAAAUCUCAGAGGAGGUUACCUGCGAUCAAACUGGGUCUGCGUAGUGUUAGGGUCAGGCAGCGUUGAAGUGGAAUCUGGAUCCGCCAUUCUCGCUGCGUGAUAUUGGGCAUGCCAUCAAAGCGCUCUCAACCGAACGUCUCGGGUAAAAUGGGAUUAGUGAAGUCUACCAAGGUGGUUGUGAGGAUCAAAAGAGAUAACACGGAAAACGCCUCACCUGGCACGUUAUAGAUCCUAAAUGCCUAGCUAUUAUUAUGGAGCCCACAACCUCCAUAUUUUACAACUGGGAACACGGGACUCAAAGAGAUUAAAAAACUAAAUGACUCGCUCAAGGUCAGGUAGUGGUGGAGACCCAGGCUUCAAGUUAAAUACUCUUUGUCCUACAAAGCCUUCGCUUAAGCAGGGGUAAUAAAACAUUUCCACCUUAAAGAGCAUCGCUUGUGAUCUGUGGAUCACUUGAUUGUCCCCACUUCCCUCCCAUCCCCGCAAAGGUUUAGAGCUGGACAUAAGGGCCUCGGUGCAACUUUUGAAGGGCAGUUGUUCAGCUUCUGAAUUUGCAUCUGAACGAGCAAUAAGGUGGGGUGCUUUCCUCAAUUCCCUUGGGGCCCCUACAUUUCUUCUAAAGUUUUGGUUAAAGUGUAAACAGUAAGGAGCUCCAGGUCCUCCACGUCUCUAACUAGCUGAAGAAAGAUUAAGUCAAUUAACCAGCAUUUACCCAGCAUCCACCAAGUAGUAAGGUUUUGCCAGCCGGCAAGGAGCCUGUGACCUCAGGGCUGUGCAGGCAGGCACCUUGGGAUUCAGACACACUUAGGCUUCCAGCCCAUUCCUCUAAUUUAGCUCUUAAUCACUUAAUGCCAGGCAGUAUUUCUUGAAUGUUGUAGUACUAUGUAAUUUUAGCUAUGCUGUUAACUUUUUUAAAAAGUAUGUGUCUGUCUCCCUGUCUUGUAGCCCCAAACCUAUACUUGAUCUUGGUAAAGGAUGUCACCCAGUAUCUUAAAUAAGCCCUGAAGUUUCCCAUGUCCCAGGAAUUAUUCACUUGACCCUCCCAAGUUAAAUGCAAUCUCUUCCAAAAAAUCUUGGUAGUCUGCAUCGUUGGAAUACAUUAGUAUCUUUUCUACAGCAUUUGGCAGCUACCUUGCUUUAGACACUGUUUCUAGUCUUGUGUUCUACUAUUUAUGCAUAUUAUCACCUACAAAAAGUUUCUCUAACAUUCAUGUGUGAGUUGGCUGUUCAUAUGGAUCAAUAUAUCACUUAUUACCCAUUCCUUUAAGGCUUGAUUUAUUUUCCUUUCCCUUCAGAUUGUAAAACUCUUGAAUAGCAGGAACCAUAUCUAGUUCCACAUCGAAUUUUCAGCCUGUUCCUCAGUAACAACACCACUCAACAACUAGCUAUAGAAUGGCUGAGUGAGCUCCCUGCCUAUCUUAUAAAAUUAUUAGGGGCAUACUUUAUAUCUCAAAACCAGGAAUUUUCUGGGAAGUUAAGAAUUUCCAAUAAAUCUUGGACUACUCUAAAAUGCACCAGAAAUUACGUGGUCACACUCGUGCAAUGAAAGAAGGCUUUGGCAGUAGCACAAGACAUCAAGCAGAAGUAGGAAAUGCAGUGAGGAAGAAGUCGUAAUGUUUUCAACAGCUGCCACUACGGAUCUAGGAUGAGAGCUUUCCACAUGUUGUUAAGAAUGAGAGACAGAUUACUCCAAGGGCCUGCCUGGUGGCCCUCCCUGUGAGAAGGUAUUCUUCCUGCUCCAUUGACAUCAGGCUUAUUAGCCAUGUUUCUGGAUUUGGUCCACUUUAUCAUAAAGAGAACAUGGAGCAGGGCUGCAGCUGAUCUUCAAAGGGCAUGAACACAAGCCAGAGAGAAGCCAUUAUUGUUGUAAGCCCUGAAGAUUUGGGGGAUAUUAUUGCAACACAACUCAGCCCAAACUGACUAAUACAACAAGUUUCUAUGUAUACAUGGAAAUGUAUGUGAUCUUAGCCUCAAAAAAAAAAAAAAAAAAAAAGAGUAUCUGAAAAUCCCAGGAUACUUGGGGCUCAUGGUGCAUGGUCAAUGAAAUGAAUAGCUCUCUUUCUUCAUCCUUCCCUCUCCAAUCUUUCCUUUUCAUUCUCCUUCAUCUCAUUCUCCUUCUUCUCUCUGUGAUUGACAAAGCUGGUCAUGGAAAAAAACAUAGGAGUCUGAAGGCUUCGAUUCUAGGUUCAUAUGUAUGAGAUUUUUUGGAAAAAACUCACAUACUCUCAAGGAGUCUCAGUUCCCUCAUCUUCAAGUGGGGAUAAUAACACCCUCUUUACCUAUUCUGCUGGGUUCUUUUGUAGAUCACAUGAAAGAGAGGUUAUGGAAAUCCUUUAUAUAUGUUUUGAAAAUUCUAUCCAGUUGCUACAGGCUGAAUGUUUGGUUCUUCAAAAUUUAUAUGUUGAAACCUAAUCACUGAUGUGAUGGUGUUUGGAGGUAAGGCUGUUAGAAGGUGAUUGGCACAAACCCCUCAUAAGAGAAGCCCCAAAGAGAGCUAGCUUGCCUGUUUCAUCAUGUGAGGACAUGGUGAGAAGAAGCCAUGUAAGAAUCAGGAAACAGGUCCUCACCAGACAUGGAAUCUGUCAGCACCUUGAUCUCGGACUUACCAGCCUCCAAACUAGUGACAAAUAAACUACUGUUCACUAGCUGCCCAAUUAAUGGUACUUUAUUAUGAUAGACUGAACUAAGACACCAGUUAUAUGAUGAAAAUACCCUACUACUAUUACUACUGCUAGUACUUCCUAUAUUCACUCAUAUUUUUGGAGGUCUUAUUAUGUUCCAAGUAUGGUUCUAAGUGCUUUUCAUCAGUAACUCUUGUAAGAGCCUAUUUUAAAUUUAGCAAAGGCAAUAAAACACUUUCCCUGGUUUAGUGAGGAGUAUUAACUAAUUGGGGGUAUAAACAUAAAAUGGUUUCGUUUUUCCAGUAGUUGCUACUACUCUUGUUCUCCAUAGCAACUUUGGUUUCAAUUCCAUAACUUUCCUGUUGUUUCUGGUCAAAGGAACAGUUGCCUCUAGUUCCUCUAUUUUAAUAUUUUGACCCUCUCCAUUCCUGUCAGGACAGGUGGAACUUGUGGCAUAGGAAGUUCAAGUGGCAGAGGGGGCCCAGUCUGUACUUGUCUCUACUCCUCCAGAGGAGGAAAGAAAGCAAGACAGAUGCUCCCUCACGUGGAUGUCCAUGGUAUAGUUGCUGUCCUCACCUUAGGUGGCCAUGACUGCUGUUCCUGUCCACUGAGCUUCAUGAGGGUUGGAGUGCCUCCCUCACCAGGAGCAGACUCUGGGGUCCCCCAGCAGGAGGCACCAUGUGUAUUCCUCUGUGGGCCUUGUACGGUCCUCCUUCCCCUUCUGCUGUAUGGGUCCCUAGGGAUGCCAUUGCUCCAAAAAUACUUGCUUUCCCAAGCUCUUCAACUCCAGGGCUCAAAAUCCCCUGGGGAUCCCCUUCCUGUAGGUCUUGAGAAUUGCAACUUGGGGGCAGUCCUGACCUGGUCAUCGUCCUCCUCACCACCUCACUGUGCCAUCUCCUCACCUCAUUCUCCAACCCCCAAAAGAUGACCACUGAUGACCAGUCUCCAGGUCAGUGGAGAACGUGUGUGGAGAAGUGCAGGAGGGGUGACAAAGCAUCCCCAAACCUUACAAAUUCUUUCCUUGAUUUUGGAGAAGAAAUCCACUGGGUAGUGCUCACCACCCCCUCACACAGCUCCAGCUAGCGGUAACGAUUUACUCCCUCCCUACACUCUUCUUAUUUUGUCUUUGAGGGUGGGGGUGCUGGUUUUGCUGAAAUGACUCUGCUCAGCCAGGCUUGUGAGAGUGGGAGGGCAGGAGGCAAAGGCAGGAAGGGAAGCAACCAGGCCUUUCUCUGCCUGUUCUCUGAACUCAGAGUAUGGGGUACUAAAGACCUGGGUUCUCCACUGUGGGCCCAAAGAGGAAACAACAAGAUCCACUUGGUACCUAAUACCCUGUCACACAGAGGUACAACAUCUCCAGCUUGAGGUGGUGUCCUGUGAGUGAUAGCAGCUCCAGGAUGGUGCAUUUACCACUGAGGAAAAGUAGAAUGAGCCCAGCCUUGGGGGAGCAAUCUGGGAACUGCCCUCCUCUUUGCUCCCACAAUAUCCUGCAGGUUCUAUGAUACAGGUAGUUAGAGCUACUCACUAGGCUGCUUGUCUUCCCCUCCACUGCAGGACAUGCCUGUAUUUUGUCCUCAUCUGUUGCUGUAGUUUGGAUGUGUUAUUUUUUUUUUCCUUUGCAUGAGUUUCCAUGCAGAACACAUGUUGGAAUUUAACUGCCAAUGUAAUGGGUGUUGGGAGGUGAGGCCUUCAACCAAACUUUAAUUAGGUCAUUAAGAUGAUUAGUGUCCUUCUCUGGAGAGACUGGAUUAGGUCUCUUGGGAAUGAAUUAGUUCUCGUGACAGCUAGUUGUUACAAAGUGAGGCUGCCUCUCGUGUUUGGUGUCUUUGUACGCUCCUGCUCCCCCUUCCUUCUGCUUUCCACCGGGAGUCAAAGCAGCACCAAGUCCUCACCAGAUGGGCUGCUGAAUCUUGUACUUCCCAGCCUGCAUAACUGGAAGCUCCAUAAACCUCUUUUUAUUCCUUAUAAAUUACCCGGUCUUAGGUAUUCAACAGAAUUGAAUUGCUUAGCUAGCAACACAAAACAGAUGAAGACAUCUGUAUUCCCAGGACCUGGGACAGCACCUGGUAUAUGCAACCUACUCAGCAAAUGUUCUCUAGAAUCUUUAGAGAUUUGGGAAUAUGAAGAAAAAAAAAAACUAGAAAAAUGGGGUGGCAGAUAUAUUCCAGAUAAAAAAUAUUUCAGGUGAAUUCUACAAACCAGGGUGGGUUUCAGACAACUGUGAAUCAUGAGUGUACUUGUUGGGGGAAAAGUUCACAUAGCUAAGAUGGCUACUUCUUGCGGUACCCAUCGACGGACUGGGGCAAGGGCAAUGAGAGGCAUAAGCUGACUACAGAUAGUUAACCCUGACAUUUUCAACUUUAAAACAGUUUCAUUUCCUGUUUGAAAACUUUGAGGGUCUUUUUCUGAACAACUUUUUUUUUUUAUUAUACUUUAAGUUUUAGGGUACAUGUGCACAACGUGCAGGUUAGUUACAUAUGUAUACAUGUGCCGUGUUGGUGUGCUGCACCCAUUAACUCGUCAUUUAACAUUAGGUAUAUCUCCUAAUGCUAUCCCUUCCCCCUCCCCCCACCCCACAACAGGCCCUGAUGUGUGAUGUUCCCCUUCCUGUGCCCAUGUGUUCUCAUUGCUUAAUUCCCACCUAUGAGUGAGAACAUGAGGUGUUUGGUUUUUGUCCUUGCUGUAGUUUGCUGAGAAUGAUGGUUACAAUAGCAAAGACUUGGAACCAAGCCAAAUGUCCAACAAUGAUAGACUGGAUUAAGAAAAUGUGGCAUAUAUACGCCAUGGAAUACUAUGCAGCCAUAAAAAAUGAUGAGUUCAUGUCCUUUGUAGGGACAUGGAUGAAGCUGGAAACUUUUUUUUAAUAGAAGGGGCAGACAUCAGUUUUUUAAAAAUUUCAAUCUCUAGGUUUGUUUUUAGGAACAUUUCUCAGAGGUUUUUCAUCAUGGAUAUUUGAAAAUGCUGAUGUAAAGAGACACAUCUCAAUUUCAAUGCUGUCACAGCCAUAUUGUCCUUCUUUGGAGAGUCUUCGAACUAGAGUAAGCCAUGGAACCUUGAUAAUAUACAAUGUGGUUGCCUAUGAUGACUCACUGACCUGUCCAGAUUUGUAAUCUGCACAUUUUAAUGUAAAUUGAAUAGUUGAUUUAAAGACAUAAGUUAUUUUAAAAACCAGUAGACUAUAUUACAACAACAACAACAACAACAAUGACACCCUAGGAUUUCAGCAUUUUCAAACUUCAAAGAAUACUGAAAACUGGCUUAGGCUCUUGUUCUGGGAUGCUCAGCUAUGCAGAGGAGAUGCUGAGAUUUCUGGCAGCCACCUUGUCUACUACAUAGUGAGACCUUAUAUGGAGAAUGAAGCCAAGGAAAACCAAGAAAGACAGUCCUGAUUGAUGUCUAGGAGUCCCCAGACCCAAUGUAAAUGGAGCCAAAUUAAGACAAGCAGAGCAGAGAGAUC
Long non-coding RNA from Symphalangus syndactylus (siamang), 6322 nucleotides. RefSeq lists it as uncharacterized. NCBI's taxonomy places the organism in Eukaryota, Metazoa, Chordata, Mammalia, Primates, Hylobatidae. The record is from RefSeq and is a predicted model, not a curated record.